UUCCUGAUUUUCCCAUCGUUCGGGGCAUUCUGGGGCUGUUUUGGCUAUUGGUUGCUUGUUUGGUCUUGAGCCGAACGGGUGGCUUCUAGUCUGGUGGCUUCGGGGAUGUUGACCGUAAAGGUGGAUGAGUGGUGUUUGGUUUGUUACGUGUGGUUGGCUGCGGCGUUUGCAACAACUUCCAUGCUUUCAGACCUCUUCAGUUGUGCGGCAAGGCUUGUAUCGCCUUGAGCGUAUUGUGGGUUUUCUGUGUUGGCUACCUAAUCAAUGGUAUCGGUUGGAUUGAUCAAUGUUUCAUUUCGUCUACCGUCGCAUUCGCGGCGUGAGAUGAACCUUGAUGCGGUCUCUUUGAUCCACCUCGUCGAAGCGCAUGCUUUGNCGUUGUGGCACAUUGAGCAUUGCUUGGUCUCUUGUAUACGGAACAUAUAGUGGGCAUGGAUCUAACGAUUCUCGUUUGCCCUCAUAUUAGCGUAACGCUUCUCUUACACGACUUGCUCCACGUUUUAG
RNAcentral lists this unclassified non-coding RNA (504 nucleotides) under Artemisia herba-alba (type 1). RNAcentral's name for it is "partial external transcribed spacer". The record is from RNAcentral. Lineage: Eukaryota; Viridiplantae; Streptophyta; Magnoliopsida; Asterales; Asteraceae.